AAGUCGUAACAAGGUUUCCGUAGGUGAACCUGCGGAAGGAUCAUUAUUGGAGUGGUUGUUUUGGAAGUAGUGUGAACGGGACUGUGUUUGGGGUGGAUCGAUCAUUUUAGGUGAUUGAUUGCCCCGCUUGUUAACCACCUUACCAUCUCUUGAUUACCACUUGGGAUCACUCCCAUGGGAUAAAACAACUUUUAGCAACGGAUCUCUAGGCUCUC
Molecule: unclassified non-coding RNA, 215 nt
Filed under: fungal sp.
Lineage: Eukaryota; Fungi
Description: partial internal transcribed spacer region
Rfam family: Eukaryotic small subunit ribosomal RNA (bases 1-46)
Source: RNAcentral